This 466-nucleotide ribosomal RNA is filed under the name Vreelandella stevensii. RNAcentral's name for it is "partial 16S ribosomal RNA". It matches the Rfam family "Bacterial small subunit ribosomal RNA", at positions 338 to 795 of the family's 1533-position model. Lineage: Bacteria; Pseudomonadati; Pseudomonadota; Gammaproteobacteria; Oceanospirillales; Halomonadaceae. The record is from RNAcentral.
CCUACGGGUGGCAGCAGUGGGGAAUAUUGGACAAUGGGCGAAAGCCUGAUCCAGCCAUGCCGCGUGUGUGAAGAAGGCCUUCGGGUUGUAAAGCACUUUCAGUGGGGAAGAAAGCCUUGGGGCUAAUACCCUCGAGGAAGGACAUCACCCACAGAAGAAGCACCGGCUGAACUCCGUGCCAGCAGCCGCGGUAAUACGGAGGGUGCGAGCGUUAAUCGGAAUUACUGGGCGUAAAGCGCGCGUAGGCGGUCUGAUAAGCCGGUUGUGAAAGCCCCGGGCUCAACCUGGGAACGGCAUCCGGAACUGUCAGGCUAGAGUGCAGGAGAGGAAGGUAGAAUUCCCGGUGUAGCGGUGAAAUGCGUAGAGAUCGGGAGGAAUACCAGUGGCGAAGGCGGCCUUCUGGACUGACACUGACGCUGAGGUGCGAAAGCGUGGGUAGCAAACAGGAUUAGAUACCCGGGUAGUC